Molecule: long non-coding RNA, 438 nt
Organism: Culicoides brevitarsis
Lineage: Eukaryota; Metazoa; Arthropoda; Insecta; Diptera; Ceratopogonidae
Exons: 3
Source: RefSeq, a predicted model, not a curated record
CUGGUUGUAAAAAGAUUUACAGAACUUGCAUGUCUUUUUUGAGAUGCAGAAUUUAAACAAUGAUUAAUUCUGAUUAAAAACAACAAUUUCUUUGACAUCUCGCUAAAUUUUUUCGCGAUACAUUGACAGAGGUCAUGUUCAAGGCCAAACAACAAAUUCGACGAAAUACUUUCUGGUCAGUUACUACCAACGACGAACGAUGUAAACAAAUUACAUAAUGCGAAAUUAAUUAUUAAUCGCAAUUGAUGAAGUGAAAGGCUUGGUGAUCGACAACCUGGUGCCUCUCGAUGAAAAAGUGUGCGAUUUUUCUCGAGAGAGAUGAAUUAUGGCACGUGGUUCGCGUGUCAAAAAAUGUCAAAGUACGAAGAUUAUUUUUGUGAAUUCAUCAAAAAAGAAUAAAUUAAAUUAAAUUCAAUAAAAGAAUUCGACAUUCUUAUC